UACGUAGGCAGCGAGCGUUGUUCGGAGUUACUGGGCGUAAAGGGUGUGUAGGCGGCUCUUUAAGUUUGGUGUGAAAUCUCCCGGCUCAACCGGGAGGGUGCGCCGAAUACUGCGGGACUAGAGUACGGGAGAGGAAAGUGGAAUUCCUGGUGUAGCGGUGAAAUGCGUAGAUAUCAGGAGGAACACCGGUGGUGUAGACGGCUUUCUGGACCGUAACUGACGCUGAGACACGAAAGCGUGGGUAGCAAACAGG
RNAcentral lists this ribosomal RNA (253 nucleotides) under uncultured bacterium. Its description in RNAcentral is "partial 16S ribosomal RNA". It matches the Rfam family "Bacterial small subunit ribosomal RNA", at positions 524 to 776 of the family's 1533-position model. The record is from RNAcentral.